GUAACAAAGUCCAUUUUUUCGCUAUUCUUUCGUCCAUAGCACACCAUCAUCAUCAUUUUUUCAUUUCAGUCAUCAUCGUAGACCAUAAACGAGGCACAAUGUACAAUAACCGAAAGAAAAUUUUCCCGAUGAUUUUGUUUUCCAUCAUAUCAUCUUUUUUUGGAAACGAUGAAAUAGCUUCAUAGUCCAUUGAAUUUUUUUUCGUUGUGGGAUGGAUCGUUUUUCACGAUCAGUGAAUGAAACAUAAACAACAACAAUAACAACGAUAAUAAUUUUUUCUUUUUUUCUUUCUUCAAAUACCAAUGUGCACACACAAAUAUUUUGCUAUCAUUCAUUCAUCUUCCAGUUGAUUUUUUUUUUUUUUUGAUUAUCGAUUCUCCCCAUUCUAAAAAGUCUGGAUGGGAAUGAAAACAUCAUGGCUUUAGUAUGGAAUAUCAACAACAAAUCAACAUACCUGAAAGCUAAUCGAACGUUAGAGAGCUUGAUUAAAAUGGAAUGAAAUUUGUUCCCCGUCAUGUAGCAUCGCGAAAAAAUCAAAGGAGUUGUCCAUAUCGCGAAAUUAUACCUACAUACAAUAGAUAGUUGUUGUUGUUAUCUGCAUAAUCUUCCGGUGAAUAUUAUUCUUGAUUCAUCAAUUUGAAUUAUUUAUGAAUACCCACACGCAAACCAAACCAAACGAAGCGAUGGAAAAAAAUUUGAAUUAUUCCAUUGCCCACAAAAAAGUAAGAAUAGUAUGUAUACAUGUUUGCCACAUUUUUCUUGCAUGCAUAUAACACCAUUCAUAUUCAUAUUCGAUAUUUUCAUUUUCAUUUCCAUUCCUCAGGGUUAUAAAUAAAUAAUGUAACAUAAGAUUGCAUGUUGUUAACAUUUCUAUCGAUAUAUAAUGAUCACAUCAUACGUUUUCAAAAUAUUUUCUUAUUAACAGUGAAAAUGUUAGAGUGUUUUGUCUACAAAUAUAUGAAAAUUAUCAUCAACAUAUAUGAUCAUGCUACAUCGUGUUUUGGGUGUUGAUUUGUUGAGAAAUGAAAAAAACAAAAAUUUCUUUAUCAAGUCAAAUCAUUGAAUCUUCGCUUCUGUUUUAUAUCAUUCAGAUGACCGAUGAUGGUGGUGAUGAUUGCUACGCAGAAACUUAUCUUUAUAUAAUUCAUGUGUUCUAUUUUUUUUACCCCAUCCGAUUCGCGAAUCCAAAAACAGCAAUAACAACAACAAUGAACAUAUAUUUUUCUCUUUACACGCAGACGGUAAGUGCGUAUAAAUAAAUGUGAUGUGAUGAUUAUUUAUGAUUCUUAUGACUAUUGUAAUGAUUUCUAAGCCAUUCAUUCUCACUAUAGCCAUCAUUACCAGGUUUUCUUUUUUUACUCACUUUCUAGUACUUCAUGGUUCACUUGAUUUUAUCUAAUACAUUGUUGUUCAUUGAACAACAGAGAAAGAAUUGGUAAAAGAAACAUUUUACAGAACAUUUUUUUCUUUGUUUUCGUUUUGUAUUCUUUCUUCCUUGCAGAUAAUAUUCGAAUUUAUACAUCAACAUCCACAUAACAAUUCUGUGCUGUGACUGCAAACAAACAAACAUAUUUGGAAAAAAGGCAAGGUAACAAUCAAUUAUGAUUAUGUUUGUCUUGUUGUUCGAUUACGCAACACUAAACAAGACAAAAAGACUCGCCCUGUAUAAAGUGGAUGAACCACAAACCAAAGAAAAAACAUGUCGAUCCAUUAGUCCAUAGAACAUAUUUAUAAAUAAAUAAACAAAUCAAGUCCGAACCAUUCGGUGAAGCAAACAUCAAAACAUGAUUCUGAAUUCGUAUUCGAAUACAAAAGAAAACGUCUGCUACUCUGUCUAGGUCAACAAAUACUUAUCACCAAGUAUCAUUCUCGAAAUUCUUCCACGUUGGCAAC
Dermatophagoides farinae (American house dust mite) is the source of this 1893-nucleotide non-coding RNA. The record is from RefSeq and is a predicted model, not a curated record. Lineage: Eukaryota; Metazoa; Arthropoda; Arachnida; Sarcoptiformes; Pyroglyphidae.